GUGCUCUCUUCAGCAGCACAUAUACUAAAAUUGGAAAGAUACAAAGAUUAGCAUGGCCCCUGUGCAAGGAUGACACACAAAUUUAUGAAGUGUUUCAUUUUUUU
Fukomys damarensis (Damara mole-rat) is the source of this 104-nucleotide small nuclear RNA. Lineage: Eukaryota; Metazoa; Chordata; Mammalia; Rodentia; Bathyergidae. The record is from Ensembl.